CCUCCUGUCGACCGGGAAGGCGAGAAGCACUGACUGACACACAGGCGCCGCCUCCUCAGCUAGACUGACAGCAUUUUCCGCCCAUCCGGGCGAGCAGCCGCCCUUCAGCGCGAAGCCCUCCUGCUGCGGGCUGCUAAUUUUAGGAUGUUGUUCAGGCUGGCUGUAGCAGCCCCGGCUGGGCCGUGAAGCAGAUAACGAGCCGUGAAUCGGAAGCGCGUGAAAUAGGAUGCGGCCCACAGGAAGUCCCUUGCUUCUUUCAGUCACACUCUUGCACCACCCUUUAAGAUCUGGGCUCGACCUCGCCUUUUCUCUCCCCGCCGCCCCCUUUGAAGUUGCGGCAGGAUGUGUAUUUCGGGUGGUAGAGCAGUUUCUGCAAAGCAUCCACGCACAAGAUAAUUUUUAGGCCUCCAAAAGGAUGCUCCCAUGUCAGUGGUGGCUGCUGCCCACUGGGGCUAGGAGAGGGAAGGAAGCCAGAGAUAACUACAAGCAGGCCUAACCCUCAGCAACUUGUUUUUCCUCCGAGCUCCAUGGAUACUCAGUGUGGAGCCAGAACGACAGCUCACUCACUAGAACACUAGAAUGACAUCUUACUCACUAGAACACUAGAAUGACAUCUUACUCACUAGAACACUGAAACAGGGUAUUGUAGAAAACUGCUUCCAUUUUCUUCACACUGCAGAAGCCAUAGGAUCAGCUUACGAAUAAUAAUAGAAAUAUUGAUUCAUUAUACUAUGACGACUCACACACAAUUUUGGAACUCUCAAUACUAUUAGAAAUUUUAUUUUAAAGGUACCAACAAUGUACAAAAAGAUCAGUCUCUUUGCAGUACUGCACAGAGCAGGAUUAGCACUGAAAACCUGUAGGCAGAAUUACAUGGCUAUUCUAGUUUUUCUGAAUAUUCUAAACUUUACUUUUGAAAGAAGGUAAGGCCUUUCACAUGACCAUAUCGGGAUGGGUUGCAGGGUUAGUGAACUCCUGCCCUAGCAGCUACAGAUGAUUAGAACCUCUGCUUGUGUCAACAAACCAAGGAAACACACAAGUAAGCCAGGAGAGGUCUGCAUUGCUGAAACUGGGGAGCUGGAAGCAUGGAGAUUCCUCUGAAGACCUUCCUGGCCUUCUCAGCAUGCUUUGUGCUGUCCAGUAGACUGGAAGGCCUCAUUGCUCUCUGAUUGGCCAUGAAGGGGCAAGAGGUAGUUCCAACCCUACUGAAGUUGCUGCAGAUCUAGGAUAGAGUGGCACAUUCAUAGAUAGUAGCCCCUGUAGUUACAGUUCUCUAUUGUUUCCAGGCAAUAGAAAAGCCAAUAGAAAAGGUGAGUGGAUCUACACCACCAGAAAACUAAGGGUAGGUGUCAUAAAGCUGUCAGGCUAGCCAGGCGAAGCGUAAAACAGGCAGAGGCAGAAGCAGAAUAGCAAAGUCUUAUAUGAAGAAAUUCUCCAAACCAGGUUCAAUCCGAGUCAAAUCCAAUAAAUCCAACAGAGUCCAAUUCAAAGUCUACGGGCAAGGUCAACACAGUCCAGGGUCCAAAUACGGUUAAGGCAAUACACGAACACAGCCGAUUCGCUCACAGGAAAUUGACGUUGGUAUCAGCAGGGUAGCUGUGGUGCAGUCAUCUUAAAUAGACUGACCCCCGGUGCUAUUAAUCAAGAGUUCCUGAGUCAGCAGCUUUGCCUGUUGUUCUACGCAUGCAGUUCCUUAACUCUUGCUGUCUCUUGGACUGACGCCCCUCUGCAGCUGAGACUGGUCGCACCUCCUCCACAAGAGCUGCCUCACCCAGCUAUAACUCAUUUUCAACUCCCCGUGCGUCGGACCCACUCUCCUUUGCAACUUCGGUCCUUGCCCUCCCUCCUCUCCUGUAACCUCCAUCCCCUCCUCCAGCUCCUCCUUGGAGUCUUCCAGCAUGCCCAUGACAGUAGGAGAGGGAAGAGAAUGCAAGACCUGUGAACAAAAAAGGUUAAAAAUGAUCAGGUGCGUAACUACUAUUUGGCAAGGGGAGGCGGCUGCCUGCCCCCCCCCGAGGCAAGUCACAGUGUGUGUGUGUGUGUGUGUAUCAGCGAGGGGCCCAUUUUAAAAUUUUGUCUCUAGGCCCACUCCAGCCUUCUUAUGCCCCUGAAAAUGAUGAAUGUAUAAACAACCAGCUCUCAACACAUAUCAAAAUAAUCAAACACAUAUGUAUAACAUAUCUGUAUAACACAUGAACCCUGAGGCUUUAACAUGCUUGGAGAAAUUUGAUCGUAUAAGAAAUGCUUUUCUACUUCUGUACUGUUCUAAUGGGAACUGGCCCCUGAUGAAGCUUCUGGCGAAACAGCUCCAUAUCCCAGGGUGGCUGUCGUGUGAUUUUCCCUGGUGUGCCUUGUCUUCCACCACCUUUUAUUACUAGUCAUUGCAGAGCAGGUUGCUUACUUUCUUCGUAUGAAGGAUUCAUGAUUUCAUCUACAUGCAUCUUCAUCAUCUCACUGAGUACAUCAAUAAGCUAGUUUCAAAUUCUUGUAACAAGAACCCUAGUUUAUCAUAGCCAAUGCUGGUGCUUAUAUAACUGCUGUUAAGGUAAGUAGGGAGAAUUUGCUUUGGAGAUAGAAGGGGCUAAAGGAUGGGGAAGGGUGCAUAAGUUUGCACCUUGUUCCAUGGUUAAGACAGGCCUAAACAUUAUUAUCUGCUUUGGUCCUCCAAGGGUUCUACAGACCUUUGAGAACUUCCUUUUCAAAGCACUGCUGAACCUUUUUCUGAAAAAUCUUUUUUUCCUGAAAAAAAUCCAUUGGUUUAGUAUAUUUAAUUAUUUAAUGUAUAUACUGCCUGACUCCAAAGGAUGUAGGCAGCCUUUAGAUAUUAUUUAUCUAUUGCAUUGAUAAAUAAUAUAAAUGCAAUAUUUGGAGGGGGCAUUAUGGUGAUGUUCCAGCUACAUGCUGUAAAUUAUCAUGAAACCUACAUGUUCCUGUUAAAAAAAAAUCGUAUAUAUAUUUGUCUAAGAAUUUCAAAAGGAUUAUGGGGAGAGGAAUCAUGGCUCACUAGAAUAAAAGUUAAUUUUAUUAUUGUG
Long non-coding RNA from Hemicordylus capensis (graceful crag lizard), 3032 nucleotides. RefSeq lists it as uncharacterized. The transcript has 3 exons. NCBI's taxonomy places the organism in Eukaryota, Metazoa, Chordata, Lepidosauria, Squamata, Cordylidae. The record is from RefSeq and is a predicted model, not a curated record.